GAGACAAGCGGGAACGAGCUGGAGUCGACGUUGGCAGCCAGACCACGGGAAAAACGACUCUACAUCGUGCCGUGUGCGCGCUACUCCGGCUACCGCCCUAACAAUUAUCUCUAAUGGGCCGCGAUACUAUAAAUCGACAUAGGCUAGAGGCCGCCCCGAUGAAAUCGGCGCGAAUACCGGGAUGGCAGAAAAUAGAAACCGCUCCGCUACCUCCGUGCAGGCUUGUCCAGGCACACGGGCUCCCGGGUCUCCUCCAUCCGGCUCCCGAGAUGGAAUCCACCAGGUUGUGCAAGUAGCGGCACCUGACUGCAAUGCUGAUGACUCGGCCAGACGAACGGACGGAGACCUCCAGAAGGGGGAGCGAAACGGAGUGAAAGAAAGAAUCGGAUAGACAGCCUGGGCAGAUACGGCGAGUGCGGACGUGUGCGUAUCUACGACCACGUAACAGUGCGGAGAGAUCUGCCGCGGCUAGAUCGUGCUCGGAUGAGGCAGCGUCGCCUCCGUAGGCUGCAGUCCGCUUGGAGUCCGCUACCGCUAACUGAACUUUGAAUGAAAGGGAAUUACGGAGGAAACCUUUGCUUUGAUGUGUAAAUUGGCGUCCAUGGAUUUCGUUCUGGUUAAGUGCAUUGUUUAUUGCUGUCUGUGGUGUAAGAUAGUUUUGGGAUAGAUGCGUAUAUUGGUAACUUUGAAAAAUCCACUGCAGUUGGAUUGGCAUCGAGUUUACUUCCAGCAGGUGACUUUAAGAGCGAAUGGAAAGAUGGAAGAUCGCGGAUAGCAAAGAUGGUUGUAGGGAUAGGUUCGAGGUCUGCGUCGUUGCACGUGGACGUUUCGCAAGUAUUAGAGUUCGCUUCAUUAGGGAGUAGCUAAGGCUACGAUAUUGUAUCAUUGCAACGAUCAUACAUCCUACCUCUUUCUUGUCGAUCUCCCGAGAUACCAUUGAAACAGAAGUAGAUCGCUUCUUGUCUGAUUCAACUUAUCUACUCCAACAUUAAAUGCUCCUUGAUCCCGGAUUACACUCUUACUUCUUCUGGUAUCGAUGGAGUUUGUUCUGUUUCGAAUUGCAGAUCUAGGUACACUAAUAAAAGUCUACGUAACAAGCUUGAUACACGAAAGGCACGUUGUCGUGGACUAAAUCAAGUAAUGUCGUAAACUGCCACCCUUGAACCUAACCUUUCGACACUCCAGUCGACGCCUGGAAUUUAUAGCCACCAAUCCAAGCAACUCGCUACUCGUCCUCUCGUAAGAACCUUUGCGGCAGGAAUUCGUAAGCACCAAUCAGACGUGUCGAGAGUAUCGUCCACGUCGCUCACACACUUCAUGAGUACCCUCUUCAGGAGAAGGAAGAGAUAUGAAACACCAACCAUUGGAUAAACGUCCUCUACGUCUGACGCCCGAUACACAGCCCUGAUGACUAAACGAGUAUCCUUCGUGGCGCACGGGGUACUUUCGUACCAAAUGCACACAGUUAGGUUUCAUCGGGGCUGGAGAUCGUGCGUGUGUCACACGGACGCGCACGGGCGACGGAGGAUUAAAUACUAAACAUUCCAGCCGACUGAUUACUUUACUACCGGCAAUAAAACACCGACAAUUACGCACUGUCACGAUCAACGACAAUGGACGACUCAAUGGAGGGAGCGCGCGGCUUCGCGGAUGAAGAGAUCCGGCCGAUAUGAUCUCGCGAGGCUUCCCCGCGAUCAUAAACGCUGCUCGUAGCCCCAUAGCGCAGUGAUUCUUAACCGUCGUGCUGUUCAAAGGCGAGCUUAUAUCGCACACCGAUGAAUUAAUGAAUUAGUACUCGUGAAAGUAGCAACGGUUAAGAGUCAAGGUUGUUCUUCUAAAAAUAAUAGGAUUGCUCCUAGAAAGUAAAAUUACGAUUAUUCAUAGAAGACAGCUCCUUUCUUCUGUAAGAUAUACGAGAGUAACACUGUAUCAGCAAAAAUCUCCUGUUAGUAUACGAGAUCCUUCAUUAACCUCUUAGGGACGGAUGAAUUUUGCGCCGGGCUGUUUCUUUGUACGGCAAAGAUUAACGCAAAUUACGUGUAAGCCACUACAGUGGCGCGUCGUUCAGAAAGAUGAUAUCCGCAAAAGCUACUUUAGUGGCGCGACGAGCCUAAGGGGUUAAACAAAGUUUCCACCCCCUACAUGAGAUCCACGUCAGGUAUAAAUAUAUUCAACGAGCAUUAAACUUUAAAAAUCACGCAAACUAAUCUGAAUUUAAUAUGUUCAUACCUGAAGAGCCCUUCUUUGACCCGUGGCACGAGCUCGAAAAGGUGAAACACCACUGGCAUAGAGAGCGGUAUCGUCCUCCGCGUCCCGACGCGCGCACAUCCCGCGAGCGGCGCGUCGGCUCGCGGCGGCUGGACCAGGGCAUCAUAAGUCUCGCGCAAUUAUAGUUUCCGUAUUUUCUUAAG
This is a long non-coding RNA of Hylaeus anthracinus, 2411 nucleotides long. RefSeq lists it as uncharacterized. The record is from RefSeq and is a predicted model, not a curated record. The transcript has 3 exons. NCBI's taxonomy places the organism in Eukaryota, Metazoa, Arthropoda, Insecta, Hymenoptera, Colletidae.